AACGCGAAGAACCUUACCUGGGUUUGACAUACACCAGACGCUGGUAGAGAUAUCAGUUCCCUUGUGGUUGGUGUACAGGUGGUGCAUGGCUGUCGUCAGCUCGUGUCGUGAGAUGUUGGGUUAAGUCCCGCAACGAGCGCAACCCUUAUCUUAUGUUGCCAGCGCGUAAUGGCGGGGACUCGUGAGAGACUGCCGGGGUCAACUCGGAGGAAGGUGGGGACGACGUCAAGUCAUCAUGCCCCUUAUGUCCAGGGCUUCACACAUGCUACAAUGGCCGGUACAGAGGGCUGCGAUACCGUGAGGUGGAGCGAAUCCCUUAAAGCCGGUCUCAGUUCGGAUCGGGGUCUGCAACUCGACCCCGUGAAGUUGGAGUCGCUAGUAAUCGCAGAUCAGCAACGCUGCGGUGAAUACGUUCCCGGGCCUUGUACACACCGAGUAUA
This 440-nucleotide ribosomal RNA is filed under the name uncultured bacterium. RNAcentral's name for it is "bacterial SSU rRNA". It matches the Rfam family "Bacterial small subunit ribosomal RNA", at positions 958 to 1398 of the family's 1533-position model. The record is from RNAcentral.